RNAcentral lists this ribosomal RNA (807 nucleotides) under Ambrosiozyma platypodis. RNAcentral describes it as "LSU rRNA". It matches the Rfam family "Eukaryotic large subunit ribosomal RNA", at positions 76 to 907 of the family's 3401-position model. Lineage: Eukaryota; Fungi; Ascomycota; Pichiomycetes; Pichiales; Pichiaceae. The record is from RNAcentral.
UGCCUUAGUAGCGGCGAGUGAAGCGGCAAGAGCUCAAAUUUGAAAUCUGGUACCUUUGGUGCCCGAGUUGUAAUUUGAAGAUCACAAUCUUGAAAUUGGUCCUUGUCUAUGUUCCUUGGAACAGGACGUCACAGAGGGUGAGAAUCCCGUGCGAUGAGGAUACCUUUUUCAUUUAAGAUGUGUUCGACGAGUCGAGUUGUUUGGGAAUGCAGCUCAAAGUGGGUGGUAAAUUCCAUCUAAAGCUAAAUAUUGGCGAGAGACCGAUAGCGAACAAGUACAGUGAUGGAAAGAUGAAAAGAACUUUGAAAAGAGAGUGAAAAAGUACGUGAAAUUGUUGAAAGGGAAGGGUAUUUAAUCAGACUUGGUAUUUAGCUAUCUCUUCUCCUUGUGGGAGGGGCUCUAGCUUUUUACUGGGCCAGCAUCAGUUUUGGUGGUGAGAUAAUCGCAGUUGAAUGUGGCUCCUCGGAGUGUUAUAGCUUCUGUUGAUGUUACCUACUGGGACUGAGGUCUGCGGCUUUGCCUAGGAUGCUGGCGUAAUGAUUAAACACCGCCCGUCUUGAAACAUGGACCAAGGAGUCUAACGUCUAUGCGAGUGUUUGGGUGUAAAACCCGUACGCGUAAUGAAAGUGAACGUAGAUCAGGGCCCGUAUGGGUGCACGAUCGACCGAUCCUGAUGUUUUCAGAUGGAUUUGAGUAAGAGCAUAGCUGUUGGGACCCGAAAGAUGGUGAACUAUGCCUGAAUAGGGUGAAGCCAGAGGAAACUCUGGUGGAGGCUCGUAGCGGUUCUGACGUGCAAAUCGAUCGUCG